This 400-nucleotide unclassified non-coding RNA is filed under the name soil metagenome. RNAcentral describes it as "partial contains 5.8S ribosomal RNA, internal transcribed spacer 2, and large subunit ribosomal RNA". The stretch from base 1 to 122 matches the Rfam family "5.8S ribosomal RNA", at positions 35 to 154 of the family's 154-position model. The record is from RNAcentral.
GAUGAAGAACGUAGCGAAAUGCGAUACUUGGUGUGAAUUGCAGAAUCCCGUGAACCAUCGAGUCUUUGAACGCAAGUUGCGCCUCAAGCCAUUAGGUUGAAGGCACGUCUGCCUGGGCGUCACAUAUCGUUGCCUGAUGCCAGUUUCCUCGUGAUGGGUGACUGUGCAGGGCGAAUGAUGGCUUCCCGUGAGCAUUGUUGCCUCAUGGUUGGUUGAAAAUUGAGUCCUUGGUAGGGAGCGCCGUGAUAGAUGGUGGUUGAGUGACGAACGAGACCCAAUCAUGUGAGACCCCUACCGAAUUUGGCCUUCAUGACCCACAUGCGUCUUUGGAACGCUCAUGACGAGACCUCAGGUCAGGCGGGGCUACCCGCUGAGUUUAAGCAUAUCAAUAAGCGGAGGA